RNAcentral lists this unclassified non-coding RNA (318 nucleotides) under uncultured fungus. Its description in RNAcentral is "partial contains small subunit ribosomal RNA, internal transcribed spacer 1, and 5.8S ribosomal RNA". The stretch from base 1 to 73 matches the Rfam family "Eukaryotic small subunit ribosomal RNA", at positions 1759 to 1831 of the family's 1831-position model. The record is from RNAcentral. Lineage: Eukaryota; Fungi.
GCAAACUUGGUCAUUUAGAGGAAGUAAAAGUCGUAACAAGGUUUCCGUAGGUGAACCUGCGGAAGGAUCAUUAACGAGUUGAGGGUUUCGACCCAAACCUCCCAUCCUUAUGUUGACUUGUACCAUGUUGCUUUGGCGGGCCCGUCAUUAAUUUGACCGCCGGGGAGAUUUAAUUAUUUCCCGGGCCAGUUUGCCCGCCAAUAGCCCUAAACUUCAAAACUCUUUGUUAAAAACUUUGAAAUUCUUGGUUAAAGAUUUGAAUAAAUCAAAACUUUCAACAACGGAUCUCUUGGUUCUGGCAUCGAUGAAGAACGCAGC